AUUGAACGCUGGCGGCAGGCUUAACCCAUGCAAGUCGAGCGAGCGGCGGACGGGUGAGUAAUGUCUGGGAAACUGCCUGAUGGAGGGGGAUAACUACCGGAAACGGUCGCUAAUACCGCAUACCAUCAGAUGUGCCCAGAUGGGAUUAGCUAGUAGGUGGGGUAAUGGCUCACCUAGGCGACGAUCCCUAGCUGGUCUGAGAGGAUGACCAGCAACACGGGAACUGAGACACGGUCCAGACGCCGACGUGAGGAAGCAGUGGGGAAUAUGGCACAAUGGGCGCAAGCCGGAUGAAGCCAUGCCGCGGGUGUGAAGAAGGCCUUCGGGUUGUAAAGCACUGUCAGCGAGGAGGCGUUACUCGCAGAAUAAGCACCGGCUAACUCCGUGCCAGCCGCCGCGGUAAUAC
RNAcentral lists this ribosomal RNA (406 nucleotides) under uncultured bacterium. RNAcentral describes it as "partial 16S ribosomal RNA". It matches the Rfam family "Bacterial small subunit ribosomal RNA", at positions 29 to 526 of the family's 1533-position model. The record is from RNAcentral.